CCUACGGGUGGCUGCAGUGGGGAAUUUUGGACAAUGGGCGCAAGCCUGAUCCAGCCAUUCCGCGUGAGUGAAGAAGGCCUUCGGGUUGUAAAGCUCUUUCGCAAGGGAAGAAAACUUAUCCUCUAACAUAGGAUGAGGUUGACGGUACCUUGAUAAGAAGCACCGGCUAACUACGUGCCAGCAGCCGCGGUAAUACGUAGGGUGCAAUGGUUAAUCGGAAUUAGCGGGCGUAAAGCGAGGGCAGGCGUGUAAUCCCCGAGCUCAACUUGGGAACUGCGUUUGAAACUACAAGACUAGAAUAGGUCAGAGGGGGGUAGAAUUCCACGUGUAGCAGUGAAAUGCGUAGAGAUGUGGAGGAAUAUCAAUGGCGAAGGCAGCCCCCUGGGAUCAUAUUGACGCUCAUGCACGAAAGCGUGGGGAGCAAACAGGAUUAGAUACCCCGGUAGUC
Molecule: ribosomal RNA, 448 nt
Filed under: uncultured bacterium
Lineage: Bacteria
Description: partial 16S ribosomal RNA
Rfam family: Bacterial small subunit ribosomal RNA
Source: RNAcentral